Molecule: non-coding RNA, 24 nt
Filed under: Arabidopsis thaliana (thale cress)
Lineage: Eukaryota; Viridiplantae; Streptophyta; Magnoliopsida; Brassicales; Brassicaceae
Source: RNAcentral
CGGCUAAGCACUGCAUACAAAUCA